Molecule: ribosomal RNA, 497 nt
Filed under: uncultured bacterium
Lineage: Bacteria
Description: partial 16S ribosomal RNA
Rfam family: Bacterial small subunit ribosomal RNA
Source: RNAcentral
GAUGAACGCUGGCGGCGUGCCUAAUACAUGCAAGUCGAGCGAACAGACGAGGAGCUUGCUCCUCUGACGUUUGCGGCGGACGGGUGAGAAACACGUGGAUAACCUACUUAUAUGACUGGGAUAAUCUCGGGAAACCGGAGCUAAUACCGGAUAAUAUAUUGAACCGUAUGGUUCAAUAGUGAAAGACGGUUUUGGUGUCACUUAUAGAUGCAUCUCAGCGGCAUUAGCUAGUUGGUAAGGUAACGGCUUUUCAAGGCUAGGAUGCGUAGCCGACCUGAGAGGGGGGUCGGCCACACUAGAACUGAGACACGGUCCAGGCUCCUACGGGAGGCAGCAGUAGGGAAUCUUCCGCAAUGGGCGAAAGCAUGACGGAGCAACGCCGCGUGAGUGAUGAAGGUCUUCGGAUCGUAAAACUCUGUUAUUAGGGAAGAACAAAUGUGUAAGUAACUAUGCACGUCUUGACGGUACCUAAUCAGAAAGCCACGGCUAACUACGUG